UACGGGGGGGGCAAGCGUUGUUCGGAAUUACUGGGCGUAAAGGGCUCGUAGGCGGCCAACUAAGUCAGACGUGAAAUCCCUCGGCUUAACCGGGGAACUGCGUCUGAUACUGGAUGGCUUGAGGUUGGGAGAGGGAUGCGGAAUUCCAGGUGUAGCGGUGAAAUGCGUAGAUAUCUGGAGGAACACCCGUAGCGAAGGCGGCACUCUGGGCCGGUACUGACGCUGAGGAGCGAAAGCGUGGGGAGCAAACAGG
RNAcentral lists this ribosomal RNA (253 nucleotides) under uncultured bacterium. Its description in RNAcentral is "partial 16S ribosomal RNA". It matches the Rfam family "Bacterial small subunit ribosomal RNA", at positions 524 to 776 of the family's 1533-position model. The record is from RNAcentral.